Molecule: ribosomal RNA, 502 nt
Filed under: uncultured bacterium
Lineage: Bacteria
Description: partial 16S ribosomal RNA
Rfam family: Bacterial small subunit ribosomal RNA
Source: RNAcentral
GAUGAACGCUAGCGGCAGGCCUAACACAUGCAAGUCGAGGGGCAGCACAGAAACAGCCAUGUUUUGGUGGCGACCGGCGGACGGGUGCGUAACGCGUAUGCAACCUACCUUUAACAGGGGGAUAACGGAGAGAAAUUUCCACUAAUACCCCAUAACAUCGAUCAAGGCAUCUUGAUUGGUUGAAAACUCCGGCGGUUAAAGAUGGGCAUGCGUUGUAUUAGGUAGUUGGUGAGGUAAUGGCUCACCAAGCCUACGAUACAUAGGGGGACUGAGAGGUCAGCCCCCCACACUGGUACUGAGACACGGACCAGACUCCUACGGGAGGCAGCAGUGAGGAAUAUUGGUCAAUGGGGGCAACCCUGAACCAGCCAUGCCGCGUGCAGGAAGACGGCUCUAUGAGUUGUAAACUGCUUUUAAACAGGGAUAAAGCACAGUAUGUAUACUGUGUUGAAGGUACUGUAAGAAUAAGGAUCGGCUAACUCCGUGCCAGCAGCCGCGGUAA